This 1882-nucleotide small RNA is filed under the name Pan troglodytes (chimpanzee). RNAcentral describes it as "retained intron". Lineage: Eukaryota; Metazoa; Chordata; Mammalia; Primates; Hominidae. The record is from RNAcentral.
ACUCGGCGGUUUGGCGGGAGGGAGGGGCUUUGCGCAGGCCCCGCUCCCGCCCCGCCUCCAUGAGGCCCGCCCCGAUUGCGCUGUGGCUGCGCCUGGUCUUGGUCUUGGCCCUGGCCCUUGUCCGCCCCCGGGCUGUGGGGUGGGCCCCGGUCCGAGCCCCCAUCUAUGUCAGCAGCUGGGCCGUCCAGGUGUCCCAGGGUAACCGGGAGGUCGAGCGCCUGGCACGCAAAUUCGGCUUCGUCAACCUGGGGCCGAUCUUCCCUGACGGGCAGUACUUUCACCUGCGGCACCGGGGCGUGGUCCAGCAGUCCCUGACCCCGCACUGGGGCCACCGCCUGCACCUGAAGAAAAACCCCAAGGUGCAGUGGUUCCAGCAGCAGACGCUGCAGCGGCGGGUGAAACGCUCUGUGGUGGUGCCCACGGACCCCUGGUUCUCCAAGCAGUGGUACAUGAACAGCGAGGCCCAACCAGACCUGAGCAUCCUGCAGGCCUGGAGUCAGGGGCUGUCAGGCCAGGGCAUCGUGGUCUCUGUGCUGGACGAUGGCAUCGAGAAGGACCACCCGGACCUCUGGGCCAACUACGACCCCCUGGCCAGCUAUGACUUCAAUGACUACGACCCGGACCCCCAGCCCCGCUACACCCCCAGCAAAGAGAACCGGCGUGCGGAUGCUGGACGGUACCAUCACCGAUGUCAUCGAGGCCCAGUCGCUGAGCCUGCAGCCGCAGCACAUCCACAUUUACAGCGCCAGCUGGGGUCCCGAGGACGACGGCCGCACGGUGGACGGCCCCGGCAUCCUCACCCGCGAGGCCUUCCGGCGUGGUGUGACCAAGGUGAGUGGCAGCCCGAGGAGGGCAGGGGUGGCAGGCCAGGCCGACGCCCCCUCCCCGCCCCUCCUGGUUUCCCAGGGCCGCGGCGGGCUGGGCACGCUCUUCAUCUGGGCCUCGGGCAACGGCGGCCUGCACUACGACAACUGCAACUGCGACGGCUACACCAACAGCAUCCACACGCUCUCCGUGGGCAGCACCACCCAGCAGGGCCGCGUGCCCUGGUACAGCGAAGCCUGCGCCUCCACCCUCACCACCACCUACAGCAGCGGCGUGGCCACCGACCCCCAGAUCGUCACCACGGACCUGCAUCACGGGUGCACAGACCAGCACACGGGCACCUCGGCCUCAGCCCCACUGGCGGCCGGCAUGAUCGCCCUAGCGCUGGAGGCCAACCCGUUCCUGACGUGGAGAGACAUGCAGCACCUGGUGGUCCGCGCGUCCAAGCCGGCGCACCUGCAGGCCGAGGACUGGAGGACCAACGGCGUGGGGCGCCAAGGUGCGGCGGGGCCGGGCGGGGGCGGGGACCCGGGGCCCACGGGGCGAGUGACUGCUGCCCUUCCGCGCAGUGAGCCAUCACUACGGCUACGGGCUGCUGGACGCCGGGCUGCUGGUGGACACCGCCCGCACCUGGCUGCCCACCCAACCGCAGAGGAAGUGUGCCGUCCGGGUCCAGAACCACCCCACCCCUAUCCUGCCGCUGAUCUACAUCAGGGAAAACGUAUCGGCCUGCGCCGGCCUCCACAACUCCAUCCGCUCGCUGGAGCACGUGCAGGCGCAGCUGACACUGUCCUACAGCCGGCGCGGAGACCUGGAGAUCUCGCUCACCAGCCCCAUGGGCACGCGCUCCACACUCGUGGCCAUACGACCCUUGGACGUCAGCACUGAAGGCUACAACAACUGGGUCUUCAUGUCCACCCACUUCUGGGAUGAGAACCCACAGGGCGUGUGGACCCUGGGCCUAGAGAACAAGGGCUACUAUUUCAACACGGGGACGUUGUACCGCUACACGCUGCUGCUCUAUGGGACGGCCGAGGACAUGACAGCGCGGCCUACA